Molecule: long non-coding RNA, 824 nt
Organism: Magnolia sinica
Lineage: Eukaryota; Viridiplantae; Streptophyta; Magnoliopsida; Magnoliales; Magnoliaceae
Exons: 5
Source: RefSeq, a predicted model, not a curated record
UGUUGGGCAGGUGCAUGCUUUAUAUGCACAACACUAGCAAGCUUAAAACAUGCAUAUAUGGUUAUACAGCCACCACCUUUAGUGAUAAGUUGGAGAAACAUAAUGAUUAUUUUAUGGACGUGGUUAUUUAUCACCUUUCAGCAUAUGAGGAAUGGUAUUGGGGCUGGUAUAUGCUAAGACGCAGAACCUUCUCACUCCAAUAACCAUGCAUGAAUGUUAGAACUUGGGUGUUGUCCUCAAACUUAUGUUUCUUCAAGCGGUUCAUCAAAAUGGCAUCUAAGGAAAUGAAAAACAGCCUACAUUCAAAAUACAUGCAUGGCCCAUCUGAUUAGAAGUUGAGAAUAUGUCCUUCUUUCUCGGCGAAGGCAGGUACAAAGACUAAACGGUUUGAUGCGGCUCUCAAAUUUUCCUUCCUGUUUGCUCUGCCCCCACUGUUUGGUCUUUGGUUAAUUCAUAGUAUCGCUGGAAGUGUUCUUGUUGGAAUAGGUUAUGGGUUCUUCGCAGUGUGGGUUUCAACUUUUAAGGCCUUUAGACAGGUUGGGGAAUCGAAGAAGUUCUUACACUGCAUUGUGGUAAGAGUUUCAAUUAGCACUAGCUACUUUUUUUACUUCUUUCUUGUCCACUUGUAUUAUUUAGUUGUAAUCAGUUUGAUUUCUACUUGCAUGCCCUUCAUUCUUCUUCUUUUUUCUUUUUUCUUUUUUUUUUCUACCAUCUCUACGUGUGAAAAGAUACAUUUGCAAUUUUGCAUGAUGAUGUAUUAAUGUAUAAUUUAAUGCAUGGUCGGAUAGAGAGGGAACUGCUCUAUUUUUUGUUGUAUUUAUUUA